UGUGAUUAUUUUGGCAAGAAGGCCUCAGGUAACAGUAAUAAAGAGUCCCUCUCAUCUGUUUGUGGCUUGAGAUUACUGCACCGUCGGCAGAAGCGGAUCAUUGGUGGGAAAAAUUCUUUAAGGUAUGGCAACAGCACUAGGAGCUAUGCUGUUAGGGUUGGAGAUUAUCAUACUCUGGUACCAGAGGAGUUUGAGGAAGAAAUUGGAGUUCAACAGAUUGUGAUUCAUCGGGAGUAUCGACCCGACCGCAGUGAUUAUGACAUAGCCCUGGUUAGAUUACAAGGACCAGAAGAGC
Molecule: small RNA, 295 nt
Filed under: Pan troglodytes (chimpanzee)
Lineage: Eukaryota; Metazoa; Chordata; Mammalia; Primates; Hominidae
Description: processed transcript
Source: RNAcentral